Mauremys mutica (yellowpond turtle) is the source of this 1511-nucleotide long non-coding RNA. RefSeq lists it as uncharacterized. Lineage: Eukaryota; Metazoa; Chordata; Testudines; Geoemydidae. The transcript has 5 exons. The record is from RefSeq and is a predicted model, not a curated record.
UCACUCAGAUGAUGAAGCUGGAAGUGUUUUAUAAGUGAUUUGGUAUUUUUUGGUGUAAGGGAACUCAUCAGCUCAGCAAAUUUAAGGUUUAAGGCAACAAGCAGAUAAUAGAUGACUUUUUUUCUUAAAACCCAGAGGAAAAACUUGCAGUUAGAACAGUUUAAGCAAAACUGGCUGUGAUCAUGAGUUAAGAUUGCAAAUGUUGGCUGAAUUUCAGGAGCUACGUGCCUUUGACUGAAGGGGAGGUUAAACUGAACAGAGUAAUAAUGGGAGUUCAAGGCAUGGAAGGGAGACCAGAACACAGACUUGGAUCCUACAUUCCUUGCACAUUUCAGAAUAACUGAUGAACAAUCAAGCCCCUAGUCUCUCUCCUAAAACUCAGCUAGUUCUGAAUAGGUAUUGUAGCUUGGCAAAACAUUUUGGAUGGGUGAGCACCUCGGCAGCCAUGAAGUCAAGUUUUUUAGAAGAGGAAUCUACAGUUGGCCAUGAGCCCUGUCUCCGAGGGAUCUUCUUCACCAACAUAUGGCUGUGCUCAGAAUGAUUACCCUGGCCUUCAGUCUGCUCAUUUAAGUCUAAUAAGGUCCUCAAAGGUGACUGUAUGACUCAUACAAUGAAGUCAUUUUUCCAAUUAGCAUUCUGACAAAUGCAUUAUAAGUAGAGCUGCUUCAAUAGGUCUUCACAGCUGGGGAAGAGAUCAGGUAUCACAAGAUUUUUCAGUUACUUUCUGCUGGUGUGGUCCAAGAAAUCCUAUUGAUUCUGAGUCUGACUCUUUGUACAGCUGAUGGAUAUCACAUAUCUUAUGAGGCUGACCUGUUCUUAAAACAAGUCCUUUCUACAAGUCUAGAUGGCAGUAUUUAUACAAGGCACAGAAAAUAACUUUGUCCUUCCUUAGAUGUGAGUGAUAUCCACUACAAAAUAUCUUCCCUUUAAACUGCCUUUUGGUUGUUUAAACAACUAAUUUAGAAUAAUUUCCCUGUAUAUUUAUGCCUCUUUGUUUUGCCAUUCACGAACAUUCACACAAACAGGUUUAAGUUUGCAUGAAUGUUGGGGGAAGAAGGAAUCAGAAAUCAGUGGGGUUUUUUUUAAAGUAUUUGUUAUUUACUAUGCAGUAUUUGUUAUUUGCCCAUCAUUAUUCUCCUGUUUAUAAAAUUGAUCAUCCGAUGAGGAAACAGCACCAGCCUGUGACAUAGGUGAAUUACCAUACACGUCGUAUAGUGAAUAGUCAAAGUGAACAGUUGGCAAAACAGCCCGGAGACUGAAAUUUGGCAAUAAAACUGUUCCCAGAACAAUUACAAACAAUGAAUACAUUCAUAGAAAUCCAAGUCCUUUACCAAAUGAUUUGCAAACAGGAAAAAAAGGAAUAUAUCCUUUUAGAUAAUAUAUUCACUCAGCCAGCUCUAAUUGCACAUAUACAAUGUAAAAAAAAAAUCAAGCUUGACCUUGUUUGGUAAAAGACUUGGUUGUCCGUGAACCAUUUAUGUGCCAAACUUCAACUUUUGUUCAGAGAUACA